GUGAAGAUUUGGGCAGGCCAUACGGACGCCAAAAAGUGUCCCUGGCCGCCUACACCCACUAUACAUCCACAAACCCGUGUGCACUGUCUUGGAGAAAGGCUUCAGAGAAGUUUUUUGUGGCCUCUCUUGGGGUCUUUCUUCGCUACAAACUCGAAUGGUUAGUAUGAACGUGGAACUUGGUUGGACCGUCACCGGCCAACAAACUAUACACAACUU
This 216-nucleotide unclassified non-coding RNA is filed under the name uncultured Malassezia. Lineage: Eukaryota; Fungi; Basidiomycota; Malasseziomycetes; Malasseziales; Malasseziaceae. The record is from RNAcentral.